AGGGUUGUGGCUUAUAGGUGGAGAGCUUGCCUAGCAUGCAUAGGCACUGGGUUUGAUUCUCAGCACCCCUA
RNAcentral lists this transfer RNA (71 nucleotides) under Ictidomys tridecemlineatus (thirteen-lined ground squirrel). Its description in RNAcentral is "Spermophilus tridecemlineatus (thirteen-lined ground squirrel) tRNA". It matches the Rfam family "tRNA". From Rfam's summary of the family: Transfer RNA (tRNA) molecules are approximately 80 nucleotides in length. Their secondary structure includes four short double-helical elements and three loops (D, anti-codon, and T loops). The record is from Rfam by way of RNAcentral. Lineage: Eukaryota; Metazoa; Chordata; Mammalia; Rodentia; Sciuridae.